RNAcentral lists this ribosomal RNA (491 nucleotides) under uncultured bacterium. RNAcentral describes it as "partial 16S ribosomal RNA". It matches the Rfam family "Bacterial small subunit ribosomal RNA", at positions 29 to 506 of the family's 1533-position model. The record is from RNAcentral.
AGUGAACGCUGGCGGUAGGCCUAACACAUGCAAGUCGAACGGCAGCACAGUAAGAGCUUGCUCUUACGGGUGGCGAGUGGCGGACGGGUGAGGAAUACAUCGGAAUCUACUUUUUCGUGGGGGAUAACGUAGGGAAACUUACGCUAAUACCGCAUACGACCUACGGGUGAAAGCAGGGGAUCUUCGGACCUUGCGCGAUUGAAUGAGCCGAUGUCGGAUUAGCUAGUUGGCGGGGUAAAGGCCCACCAAGGCGACGAUCCGUAGCUGGUCUGAGAGGAUGAUCAGCCACACUGGAAAUGAGACACGGUCCAGACUCCUACGGGAGGCAGCAGUGGGGAAUAUUGGACAAUGGGCGCAAGCCUGAUCCAGCCAUACCGCGUGUGUGAAGAAGGCCUUCGGGUUGUAAAGCCCUUUUGUUGGGAAAGAAAAGCAGCAGGUUAAUACCCCGCUGUUCUGACGGUACCCAAAGAAUAAGCACCGGCUAACUUCGU